AGAGGAAGUGCGAGGACCUUUUCUCGCCGGGAUUGCCCGUUCUACAGUGAUUUCUAUAAAUUUCUAAUCGACGAGCAGAUCCGCACGGCUCACCACUGAUACGCUCUUCGAACGUACAUUCGACACGCGGAAAUUAUUGCCAGCUAAUUUUUUUCUCGCUAUUCAAUUAACUACGCGAACUGGCGGACUAAAACAUCUUGGAAAGUCCUAGACGAUUUUGAAACUUUUAAUUAUAUUUAUAUUGAUGCAUAACAAUCUCUCGCAAACUGGAGUUUUAAUUGCCCGACGCAACAGAUUUUCCACGAAAAAAAAGCGCGCAUUAUGGAAGAUCGUCACGAGUGCGCAUUGAAUGCACAUUGUGUGAACGCUGUUGUCUAUCGGCCCUAACGCGAGAAGAGAAUUCCGCCGUAGGUGAGGUCUACAACCUUCGCUCCUAUUUGAAGUCUUUCCUUGAUCCGCGCGCGGAAUAACCGGUCUUCGCUCGGGUCCACCUACGAGGUCAAAUCCAACUUGCAACAUCUCUCGCGUGCAGCAUAUUUCCUAGGACGGAUCAUUGUAUCCGAAUGUAUGCGCUCUAGUUGAUGAAUCGGACAAACCGGGGGACAAAUACUUUUGUUUUUUGUAGUGAAAGGCUUCUGACGGUUUUUUUCUAUCUGGCGAAUCUUUCCUUAUUCCCUUCUUUCCGAGAGAGUGUGUGUGUGUUCAAAAUAGUCCGAGCUCUUUGAGAAGCACUCCGUAGGCGUUACGUGGGAAAAUAAGUAAUUGAUUAGGCUCCUGCUUGAUUCAUCUGACUGCGUACGUGACAUUUUAAGCAAGGUCUACCUUCUCUAGUCAAAGUGAAACAGAAAUUUGCGAUUUUUUCCUCGCAAAAAAAUGCAAAAAAUUAUGUAUCGCUUAUUCUAUUCAAACCAUAAUUAUAUUGGGAUCGUAAUAGUAGAAAAUAAUAGACUCUCAGAAGAUUGUUAAGUAAUAACAAUUUAUUAUGUAAUAAUACGAUAAAUACCUAAAAAGAUACAGUUUUCGUUUUCACAGGUUGUAAUUUUAAUACUUGUUAAUAUACAUUGAAAUUUUGAGCAAUUGCAUAUAGAUUAUUAAUUGAAUAAUAAUUGAUCAUUUUAAUAUUUUUGUAUCUCGCAAUUGCACGUACACUCUAUUCCAGUACGUUAAGUGAUUAUAACGCGAAUAAAUUCAUUUAAAUAAAAAUUUUGAAAUAAUAAAUUGUGUUCAAAUAUAUAUUAUAAUAUAUAUUAUAAUAAUUAUAAUUAUGAAUAUAUAAAUAUACAUAUAUUAUAUUUUUUACAUGUUGAAUAUCUUCUAAAGAAUGUAAUGAUAUUUACUAUUUUCUAUCCGUGAACAUCUUCAAUUAAAUUCCAAAAUACUGUAAAUCAAUAUGUCGAACAAUACCCAUUUCGAUUUACGAUCUUAACUGUACUGGAAUUAUAAUUGUACAAUAGAUAUAUUUCUGAUUUUAGUGAAUAAAUUGAACAAUGUACUAUCAAAUAAUUAAUUGUACCUAUACGUGCAGCAUGCAAUGAAUAUAAUGGUUGUACGCAUUAGUUAUUAGCAAAUAUGUGUACAAGAUGUUUAUUUCAGGAACAUAUACGUAAAAUCACAUGUAAACAGAAGUAUUUACAUAUACUGAAGGUGAUAUACAUUUGCAUCUCUCGAGCAUACCAAAAUUUGUAUCAUAAGAAAUUUUUUGUUUUUUAGAAAGUAAUUUUUAAUUUUGGAAAAAUAAGAUCUUGAAUAUCAGAUGACUUCUAGAGUAAAAACAUACAAUAAACCUAAAUCUAAUGUGAGAUAUUACAAGAACCAGUUACCUUAAAAAUUUCUUGUUUAAUUUAUAUAAUCACUUACGUCGAUUAUUUGUUUUAAUAAAAGGCAGUCAUGAAUCUUGGAAAUGUGAUAAAAAUUGUCGUAUAUUGUGUUCAAAAAGAGAUUUAAACAUGUGAUAUGUGUAGAUUUCGGAAAGAAACAAAUCGGGAGCAAUUUCUUUCCGGCGAAACGAAUGAGCAUUUAUUGUUAAUUGACCAAAAUUUUGGCACAUUUUUAAUGUGUUUCAGACCAUUUUUCUCUUAAAACUAUUUUAUGUCAUUAUAUUAUUAACAAACAAUAGGCUAUCUAAACGGCUUAACAAGUUAUAUAAUAUUGAAGGAUAAAAUUGAGGGUGCGUAAUCACUUAAUAAAAUCGUAAUUAAUUAAAAAUUGCGCAUUAUGUGUCUCUACAUUACUUUAAAGAGAUGGUAAUAUGUAUCAAAUUAAGUUGUAUUGAAAAAUAGUGAAUGCGUAAGAUUCCAGUGCUAGAGGGGAUACAUAUUCUCUCUCUCUAUUCCGUAAUAUGUAUCUAAUAUUUUGGAUAAAAGUUAUGAGAGAUUGUACGACGAUUAACUUGUAUUACGAUUAACAAGCGGAGUGCAAAAGUUAACAUUCCUCCUAUUUUUGAUGCUAGGUAUGUCCUUGAUUAAUCGCAAUAUAAAAAGUCGAUCCUAGUAAAUAAUGCGAGUCACUGAGUAUCACAAUGUUCUCUCUCGACGUAAAUAGUAUUGACUUCGAGGAGUUUCCUACGAGACACAUCAAAUGCAUGUAAAAGAAAACAUAUAUAAAUCAAUAGCAAUUUUUUGAUUAUGAAACUCAGUUACUCCAUUUGUGAUAAUUUGUCUUACAUUAAAUUACUCCAUUUAUCAAUGAUAAAUAAAGAUGAUAGCGCUGCUGAGAUCCGCACAGUGAACCGAUAUAUUGGUAGAAAUAAUAUUACAUAUUACAAUAUUCAUGUUUAACAUGAGAUAGUUUAUUAUGCACAAGCAUUUUCUGAAUAAAAAAAAGAGAAGACACUUUUUUCCGAUUCAUCAGACUUCUCGAAAGUACAUUAGAGUAAGUUAUAGUUACAGAUUAAUGUAUAAUAGUCGUACAUCUAAUUCCGAGAUAUUAAAUGCGCAUCUAUGAGAUCUUAAGGCAAUAGUGUUUUCCAUUCUCUCCAUUUUUCAAUGCUAGUUUAUACAUUUUUACUCCCCGCGUUCAUACUACAUUCAUUUUCUGUAAAUUAGAAAAUAUUGAAAACACUCCAUAUUAUAAGAGAGAACACUAAGCGUGCUAAGAACCCAUAAGCAUUUGUGUGUAUUCAAAAAUCUGUGAGAGUUUUCAGAAUUUCUGUUACAGUUGUCCAUAAUGUGCUUUUCAGUUAAGUAUGUGUAUAUAUGUAUAUCUUACUAUAUAAAUUGCAUCCAGGAAAAAUUUAUUAAUUUUAUGCAAAAGAAAAUAAAUAAUUGUAUAUGCAUCUAUUAAAGCCAUAUAUAAUAAUUAACUUAUUUAUAUUAAUAUAUUUUAGUUCACUGAUUUGAAGAACCUAUUCACAUUUUGCCUGCACUUUAAACAGAUUUUAUCUUAAAAUAUAAACGCGACAGACAAACAUUCUAUAUUUUUAUUUAAAUAAUAUAUAAUAUUCUAUAUUUCUGAUUUAAACAUACAAAAAUAUUUUAUAUUUAAGCAAUUUAAUUUUUUUAUAUUAUAUAAAAUAAGAAAGUGCUAAGCUACGCACGUCACUAAAUAAUACGUGCCAGUGAAUUAUACUUAUUGUUAGUCACUUUUAUAAUGAAAGAUUAAUUUAUUCUGUAUCACAAUAAUGAUAAAUAAAAAUACAGAUGCAAAUAUAUUGAUUAUCGGGCCUUAAUCGAUGUAAAUGCCACACAUAAGCAUGAUAUUAUAUCAUGUGUAAACUCAUUUAAUUAUAUAAUAAUUGUGUGUAAUAUAGACGUUAACAAUAGUAUCGAAUAAUAAUAUAGAAUGUUAUACUAUAACCAUUUAACAUUGCUUUACAUUUUUGAGGUGCUGAAAUUUCUCGAGAAUUUGCCAAAAUGAAUAUUUUUGAAAGUGUAAAUAUUUAACUUGCCUAAAGCUAGAUGUGUAUACGCACAAAGAUGAUCAUGCUAAGCUUGUAUUUUCUAAUCCCAGUGUCUCAUAAAGCUUUUUGAUUGGAAAAUAAAUUUUUUCGUAACCAUUGUCCUCAAAAUGGUGUGGAAAUAUAUAUACAGAUAAAUCUAAUGAUAAUGAAAAAUACACAAAUGUCGCUCUUUAGCCAUUCAGUUGAUGCACUACUAAAAAGAUUUUAUAUCAUCAUUCAAAGAUCAAACGUAUUGUUACGUAUUGUCCAUUAACGUGAUUGAAUAACAAACAGGGCUCUGUGUGUAAUAUAGACAAUGUUAAUUCAAAUAUGAAAGAUUAUUUCGAUAUUAUACUUUCAACAUAUCAGCAUACCUAUAUUGGCCCCAUCGCCACACUUAAGGCAAAAUAAGUUAUUUGUCGAGAAUACCCUUAGAGUUUGGAAUGCCAAUUCUAUUUUUCAGCCCAUCUCAAUUUCCAUGUCUUAAAAAUUGUCUAAUAUUCAGAAACAAUAUUAUAGAAUAUAAUAAAUAUAAUUUUGAAUUUACUAUAAUAAAAUUUGGAUUCUGAAUUCCUUCAGCAAAUGUUAAGUUAUAUUUCAACCACUCAGAUUUUCGUUUCUCUCCGAGUUAUGGGUCGUAUCGCUGUUUGCAAUUUAUUGUACUGUAUUACGAGUAUAAACAAAAAGUUCCACUGAACUGGUGAUUACUUAAAUUUCAACUCGCAUCUCGUGAAAAAUACGCGCAUUAAAAAAAAAAA
Molecule: long non-coding RNA, 4635 nt
Filed under: Monomorium pharaonis (pharaoh ant)
Lineage: Eukaryota; Metazoa; Arthropoda; Insecta; Hymenoptera; Formicidae
Description: uncharacterized LOC114254705
Source: RNAcentral